Molecule: ribosomal RNA, 209 nt
Filed under: uncultured bacterium
Lineage: Bacteria
Description: partial 16S ribosomal RNA
Rfam family: Bacterial small subunit ribosomal RNA
Source: RNAcentral
UACGUAGGGCGCAAGCGUUGUCCGGAAUUAUUGGGCGUAAAGAGCUCGUAGGCGGUUUGUCGCGUCUGCUGUGAAAACCUAAGGCUCAACCUUGGGCUUGCAGUGGGUACGGGCAGACUAGAGUGUGGUAGGGGAGACUGGAAUUCCUGGUGUAGCGGUGGAAUGCGCAGAUAUCAGGAGGAACACCGAUGGCGAAGGCAGGUCUCUGG